GAAACGCGAAAGGUAAUGCGAAUUGCAGAAUCAGUGAGUCAUCGAAUCUUUGAACGCACAUUGCGCCUCUCGGUAUUCCGGGAGGCACGCCUGUUCGAGCGCCAUUACAAACUCCAAGCGUGGCUUGAUGUUGGGCGAUGUCUUUUUGCUAGAGCGGAGACACGCCUGGAACGCGUUGGCGCCGCCGCCGAACCACGAGCGUAGCAAGACGAGAGUCAAUCGCAUCGAUUUGGAUUCCGACGGAGGUCCGCCAUGGGACUGCACUUUCGAGUGUAAGUCCACAACUUCUCAAGUUUGGCCUCGGAUCAGGCGGGGAUACCCGCUGAACUUAAGC
Molecule: unclassified non-coding RNA, 334 nt
Filed under: plant metagenome
Description: partial contains 5.8S ribosomal RNA, internal transcribed spacer 2, and large subunit ribosomal RNA
Rfam family: 5.8S ribosomal RNA (bases 1-104)
Source: RNAcentral